Molecule: RNase P RNA, 354 nt
Filed under: Flavobacteriales bacterium
Lineage: Bacteria; Pseudomonadati; Bacteroidota; Flavobacteriia; Flavobacteriales
Description: RNase P RNA component class A
Rfam family: Bacterial RNase P class A
About the family: Ribonuclease P (RNase P) is a ubiquitous endoribonuclease, found in archaea, bacteria and eukarya as well as chloroplasts and mitochondria. Its best characterised activity is the generation of mature 5'-ends of tRNAs by cleaving the 5'-leader elements of precursor-tRNAs.
Source: RNAcentral
AAAGCUCCCGACUCUGUCGCUUCCUAGGAAGAGGAAAGUCCGGACACCACAGAGCAUCAUACUAGUUAACGACUAGGCGUCUUCGGAUGACAGCCAGUGCAGCAGAAAACAACCGCCUUCGGGUAAGGGUGAAAAGGUGAGGUAAGAGCUCACCAGUGCUUUAAGUGAUUAGGGUAGCUGUGUAAACCUUAUGAGGUGAAAGGUCAUGUAUACCAGGGUUCCUUUCGGGGAUAAAAGUGCUCGCUUGAUCUUGGAGGGUAGACUGCUAAAGAUGCUUAGUGAUAAGUAUCGUAGAUAAAUGACAGAGGUCCUCUUUGAGGAUGACAGAAUCCGGCUUAUGACGGAGCUUUUCUU